Molecule: transfer RNA, 73 nt
Filed under: Bos taurus (domestic cattle)
Lineage: Eukaryota; Metazoa; Chordata; Mammalia; Artiodactyla; Bovidae
Also listed under: 2 other names
Rfam family: tRNA
About the family: Transfer RNA (tRNA) molecules are approximately 80 nucleotides in length. Their secondary structure includes four short double-helical elements and three loops (D, anti-codon, and T loops).
Source: Rfam by way of RNAcentral
UCCCUGGUGGUCCAGUGGUGAAGACGCUGCACUUCCACUGCAGGGAGCAUGGGUUCGAUCCCUAGUUGGGGAA